AACCCAAAUUAAUAAAUACGCGGCGUAAAAAGUGUUUUAGGAAAGAUCAAAAAUAAGACUAAACUUCAUCUAAGUCGUAAAAAACUUCAGAUAAAUUUAAACUCACAAACGAAAGUAGUCUUAAUCUACCUGAGCACACGAAAGCUAGGACACAAACUGGGAUUAGAUACCCCACUAUGCCUAACCAUAAACAUAAAAAUUUUUCAACAAAAAUUUUUGCCAGAGAACUACUAGCAACAGCUUAAAACUCAAAGGACUUGACGGUGCUUACAUCCACCUAGAGGAGCCUGUUCUGUAAUCGAUAAACCCCGAUCUACCUCACCGUUUCUUGCUAAUC
This 337-nucleotide ribosomal RNA is filed under the name Coendou melanurus. Its description in RNAcentral is "partial 12S ribosomal RNA". It matches the Rfam family "Bacterial small subunit ribosomal RNA", at positions 536 to 989 of the family's 1533-position model. Lineage: Eukaryota; Metazoa; Chordata; Mammalia; Rodentia; Erethizontidae. The record is from RNAcentral.